GUGUUGAUGGUGUAAUGGUUUGACUUAUAAUUGGUAAUACGACGGUCGUAGGUUCGACUCCUGUUAUCGGCACC
RNAcentral lists this transfer RNA (74 nucleotides) under Citrobacter rodentium ICC168. RNAcentral's name for it is "transfer RNA-Thr". The record is from RNAcentral. Lineage: Bacteria; Pseudomonadati; Pseudomonadota; Gammaproteobacteria; Enterobacterales; Enterobacteriaceae.